RNAcentral lists this ribosomal RNA (301 nucleotides) under uncultured bacterium. RNAcentral describes it as "partial 16S ribosomal RNA". It matches the Rfam family "Bacterial small subunit ribosomal RNA", at positions 509 to 809 of the family's 1533-position model. The record is from RNAcentral.
CAGUAGCCACGGUAACACGUAGGGUGCAAGCGUUAAUCGGAAUUACUGGGCGUAAAGCGUGCGCAGGCGGUUAUAUAAGACAGAUGUGAAAUCCCCGGGCUCAACCUGGGAACUGCAUUUGUGACUGUAUAGCUAGAGUACGGCAGAGGGGGAUGGAAUUCCGCGUGUAGCAGUGAAAUGCGUAGAUAUGCGGAGGAACACCGAUGGCGAAGGCAAUCCCCUGGGCCUGUACUGACGCUCAUGCACGAAAGCGUGGGGAGCAAACAGGAUUAGAUACCCGAGUAGUCCCUGUCUCUUAUAA